This 76-nucleotide microRNA precursor is filed under the name Pongo abelii (Sumatran orangutan). RNAcentral's name for it is "miRNA". Lineage: Eukaryota; Metazoa; Chordata; Mammalia; Primates; Hominidae. The record is from RNAcentral.
CUAUAUGCAGUGGACCAGGCAAGGGCUCUCCUGAAAGGACAGUAGAGCCCUUGCCAUCCUGGUCCACUGCAUAUAG